Molecule: ribosomal RNA, 424 nt
Filed under: uncultured bacterium
Lineage: Bacteria
Description: bacterial SSU rRNA
Rfam family: Bacterial small subunit ribosomal RNA
Source: RNAcentral
UGAGGAAUAUUGGGCAAUGCCCGCAAGGGUGACCCAGCAACGCCGCGUGGAGGAUGAAUGUCGUAAGAUUGUAAACUCCUGUUAGAGGGGAAGAAUAGUACCGGUUGGACCGGUAUAUGACUGUACCCUCAGAGAAAGCCCCGGCUAACUACGUGCCAGCAGCCGCGGUAAUACGUAGGGGGCAAGCGUUGUCCGGAUUUACUGGGUGUAAAGGGCGCGCAGGCGGGAUAAAAAGUCAGUGGUGAAAUCCUACAGCUUAACUGUAGAACUGCCUUUGAUACUUUUAUUCUUGAGUUCGGGAGAGAGAGAGACGGAAUUCCAGGUGUGGUGGUGAAAUACGUAGAUAUCUGGAAGAACACCAGUUGCGAAGGCGGUCUCUUGGUCCGACACUGACGCUGAGGCGCGAAAGCGUGGGGAGCAAACA